RNAcentral lists this ribosomal RNA (1427 nucleotides) under Phytophthora infestans T30-4. RNAcentral's name for it is "28S ribosomal RNA". It matches the Rfam family "Eukaryotic large subunit ribosomal RNA", at positions 96 to 1315 of the family's 3401-position model. Lineage: Eukaryota; Oomycota; Peronosporomycetes; Peronosporales; Peronosporaceae. The record is from RNAcentral.
AAGCGGGAAGAGCUCAAGCUUAAAAUCUCCGUGCAAGUUUUGCGCGGCGAAUUGUAGUCUAUAGAGGCGUGAUCAGUGUGGGCGCUUGGGGCAAGUUCCUUGGAAGAGGACAGCAUGGAGGGUGAUACUCCCGUUCAUCCCUGAGUUGCUCGUGCGUACGAUCCGUUUUCUUUGAGUCGCGUUGUUUGGGAAUGCAGCGCAAAGUAGGUGGUAAAUUCCAUCUAAAGCUAAAUAUUGGUGCGAGACCGAUAGCGAACAAGUACCGUGAGGGAAAGAUGAAAAGAACUUUGAAAAGAGAGUUAAAGAGUACCUGAAACUGCUGAAAGGGAACCGAAUCGUUUCCAGUGUCUAUAAUCCGUGGUAUAUUUCAUUGGCGAGUGUGUGCGUGCGUGUGCUGUGGCAGCGGCUUUUUUGGCUGCGCUCGGCGUGUGUGCUGUGUGUGCUUGCUGGUGCCCUGUGCUGCGGUGGGACGUCAAGGUCAGUUCGUAUGCUGCGGGAAAUGGCCGCCGAGGAGGUAGGGCUUACGCUUGCGUUUGUCUGUUAUAUCUUGGUGGACGAGUAGUCGCAGUUGGGACUGAGGUGCCUACAACGUGUUUUUGAGUGGGCCUGUGUCUCUGUGUGCGCCGUGUGCGGAUAGCUUGCUAUGCGUGUGUGGUUGUGUGUGGAUUGAUGUGGGUUUUAACUUGUUGCCGUUCGGGACGUUGACGAAAUGGAGCGAUUUGACCCGUCUUGAAACACGGACCAAGGAGUCUAACAUGUGUGCAAGUGUUAGGGUGUGGAAACCCCAGCGCGAAAUGAAAGUGAAGGGCAGCGUAAGUUGUCUGAGGUAGGAAAUGCUGCGGGCUUCGGUCUGCGGUGUGGCACUAUCGACCGAUCAUGAACCUUCGUGGUGAAAGAUUUGAGUUUGAGCACAUAUGUUGGUACCCGAAAGAUGGUGAACUAUGCCUGAGUAGGGUGAAGCCAGGGGAAACUCUGUAGAAGCUCGUAGCGAUUCUGACGUGCAAAUCGAUCGUCAAACUUGGGUAUAGGGGCGAAAGACUAAUCGAACCAUCUAGUAGCUGGUUCCCUCCGAAAUUUCCCUCAGGAUAGCAGCAACUUAUUUACGAUAGUUUUAUGAGGUAAAGCGAAUGAUUAGAGGAUUCGGGGAAGAAACUUCCUCGACCUAUUCUCAAACUUUAAAUCUGUAAGACCUGCAGGUUUCUUAAUUGAACUUGUGGAUGUGAAUAUCAAGUUGCUAGUGGGCCAUACGGGGUAAGCUCGUCUGGCGAUGCGGGAUGAACCGAACGCAAAGUUAAAGUGCCAAAAUGCUCGCUCACCUAGAUACCAUAAAAGGUGUUGGUUCAUUUAAACAGCAGGACGGUGGCCAUGGAACUCUCAAUCCGCUAAAGAGCGUGUAACAACUCACCUGCCGAAUGAACUAGCCCUGA